RNAcentral lists this ribosomal RNA (264 nucleotides) under uncultured bacterium. Its description in RNAcentral is "partial 16S ribosomal RNA". It matches the Rfam family "Bacterial small subunit ribosomal RNA", at positions 793 to 1055 of the family's 1533-position model. The record is from RNAcentral.
GUCCACGCCGUAAACGAUGAGUACUAGGUGUAGGGGGUAUCGACCCCCUCUGUGCCGAAGCUAACGCGAUAAGUACUCCGCCUGGGGACUACGGCCGCAAGGCUAAAACUCAAAGGAAUUGACGGGGGCCCGCACAAGCAGCGGAGCGUGUGGUUUAAUUCGAUGAUACGCGAAGAACCUCACCCAGGUUUGACAUGCACGUUUACCGAUUCGAAAGAUGAGGGACCCUUCGGGGAGCGUGCACAGGUGUUGCACGGCCGUCGU